This 62-nucleotide transfer RNA is filed under the name Cucujoidea sp. 23 KM-2017. Its description in RNAcentral is "tRNA-Cys". The record is from RNAcentral. Lineage: Eukaryota; Metazoa; Arthropoda; Insecta; Coleoptera.
AAUUCUAUAGUCAAUAAUGAUAUUAAAUUGCAAAUUUAAAGGUAAGUUAAAUUUUAGGAUUU